ACUUCUACUCUUACUAAAGUACAUGAUCUGAGUACUUCUACUCUUACUAAAGUACAUGAUCUGAGUACUUCUACUCUUAAUAAAGUACAUGAUGUGAGUACUUGUACUCUUACUAAAGUACAUGAUGUGAGUACUUCUACUCUUACUAAAGUACAUUAUCUGAGUACUUCUACCUCCUCUGGGGACCAUGUAAUAUCUAAGAAAGCUCCCUCUGGUUAAAGGUGUGAUAGAAAUUAUAGAAGCACCUUUGAAUAUCUAGUAUUGAUCAGGUCUGAUGAGAUGUCUGAAUAUCUAGUAUUGAUCAGGUUUGAUGAGAUGUCUGAAUAUCUAGUAUUGAUCAGGUCUGAUGAGAUGUCUGAAUAUCUAGUAUUGAUCAGGUUUGAUGAGAUGUCUGAAUAUCUAGUAUUGAUCAGGUUUGAUGAGAUGUCUGAAUAUCUAGUAUUGAUCAGGUUUGAUGAGAUGUCUGAAUAUCUAGUAUUGAUCAGGUCUGAUGAGAUGUCUGAAUAUCUAGUAUUGAUCAGGUCUGAUGAUGAGAUGUCUGAAUAUCUAGUAUUGAUCAGGUUUGAUGAGAUGUCUGAAUAUCUAGUAUUGAUCAGGUCUGAUGAGAUGUCUGAAUAUCUAGUAUUGAUCAGGUUUGAUGAGAUGUCUGAAUAUCUAGUAUUGAUCAGGUUUGAUGAGAUGUCUGAAUAUCUAGUAUUGAUCAGGUUUGAUGAGAUGUCUGAAUAUCUAGUAUUGAUCAGGUUUGAUGAGAUGUCUGAAUAUCUAGUAUUGAUCAGGUUUGAUGAGAUGUCUGAA
Long non-coding RNA from Gymnodraco acuticeps, 795 nucleotides. RefSeq lists it as uncharacterized. The record is from RefSeq and is a predicted model, not a curated record. Lineage: Eukaryota; Metazoa; Chordata; Actinopteri; Perciformes; Bathydraconidae. The transcript has 3 exons.